Molecule: long non-coding RNA, 2102 nt
Filed under: Nicotiana benthamiana
Lineage: Eukaryota; Viridiplantae; Streptophyta; Magnoliopsida; Solanales; Solanaceae
Description: long non-coding RNA (NBEN_LNC007674)
Source: RNAcentral
UUGAACUUGACACUAGGAAGGGAAUGAUAUUAAGAGCACAGGAAGGGGAGGCACAUAUGAAGAGGCAAAUGUUACAAAGAAGAUAUCCAUUUGAGCAAUUGCCGACACUUGCUCGUUGAGCAGCCUCUCAUUCAGGUCCUCGACAUGUCUCUUUAGAUCAGCAUUUUCCAAAAGGGCAAUCUCCGUGCCUUGUGAAUUUUCCAAAAUAACCCUAUGCCUUCGCACUACACCCCCGCGUUCGUAUAGACCAAACACCUGCCAAGGACCCCAGGCCCAACUACCCUACGCGAUCGCACCAGCCUUGUGCGAAAGCACUGCUCAACGUUCUCAGAACUAUCCAAUAGCAUGGACCCUAAUGCGACCUUAUAGCACAAAAUAGGGCUCCUCUCCCAUCCUUCUAUGCGAUAACAAUGCCACCUAUGCGAUCGCAUAGAGCAAUUCCUCUGCAACAUUUCUGCUGCAUUUCUGCAACUCCCAAAAGCCAAAUACCUUCCGUUUAACCACUCGAAACCACCCCAAGGCCCUCGGAACCUCAACCAAAAGUAUCAACCCAUCCUAAAACAUCACACAAACAUGUUCAAAUCAUAAAACACAUCCAACAACACAAGAAUCAUCAAUUUACGACGGAUUCAAGUCUAAGUUAAACUAAAACUUCCGAAACUCGCAUUUGAUCAAAAACCCGAUCAAACGAUGUCCAAAUGACAUGAAAUUUUACACACAUAUCAAAAAUCAUCUAACAAAGCUGUUGCAGCUUUCGGAAUUCCAUUCCGACUCUCGAAUCAAAAUUCCGCCUAUCAACCGGAAUUUCCCAAAAUUCAAAUUUAGCCAAUUCAAGCUUAAUUCUACACCGAGCCUCCAAAAUUACUUCUGAUUGCUCUCCUACGCCUGAAAUCAUCCCCCGGAGCUAACCGAAUCAUCAGAAAUACAUUCCGAGCCGUCUAACUCAUAAGUCAAUAUUCGGUUGACUUUUCCAAACUAACCUUCUCAUAAAGAGACUAAUUGUCUCAUUUCUAACCAGACUCAAUCCGAAUUAUUUCAAAUUCUCCAAACACAUAUAAUGAAACAUAUAGAAGCAUAAAAAGAGAAAACGAGGUGGUAACUCACGUGAUGAUGGGCCAGGUCGUCACAAUGUUGUUUAUGUACUCAUGCUACACUUCUGUACUUAAAUGUAUAGGAUUUGAGGCAGCUGGAUCUGGACAUCAUUCUGGUGCGUAUCAGUGAGCGCACCUGGGACUUCUACGGUGAGCUGGUUCUCUUUCAUGCCGAUCCACAGCCGAAGAAGUCUUUCUCUGUACUUUUGUUUCUAUCUAUCCUGAUUCAGACAGCACGAUAGUAUAUUAUUCUUUUGUGUAUAUUCUACUAGUUGCCCGUAGCUUGUGACACCGGGUUUUGACACGCGCACGUUAGUAGACAUUUAUUUUUGUGUUAUAUAACUAUUUUGAUAUAUUAUUUACUUCUCUUGGCCUUAACUUUUACUUUGAAAAUAUGUUAUACUUAGUUUUGGUAAAAAGUAAAAUGAGAACUUAACUAUACUUCUGCUUGUUGGUUAGCCUGACAAUGGUGUCGGUCGCCAUCAUGACAUACUAUGGAAAAUGAAUCGUGACAAAUAUAACGAAUCAAUGACUGAAAAACCACGUGAAAUUGCUAUAGUUUGGAACUUCAAUUAGAAAUUUUUGACCGAAAAUUUAUGUGAUGUGAAAAUUAAUUACCUUUAAAAAGCUCAAUGCCUGCAUGCAGCAAUUGCUGAAAACCUAUUAUGAGAAAAUUCAAUGUGGCGUAAAAUCAUGUGGAAUUGGUAUAGUUUGUAACUUCAAGAAUAUGCAGGACAACUUGAUUGGAGUUAGGAUUUCAUAAAUUAAUCCAUAUUAGGAAAAUAUUACUCGUAUAAUUCUAUUAAGCACAAAUUUUAUAUUCUAAAGAAAAAAUCUAUCUUUUGAAGGGAUCUACAUUCACUGAGGUACCCGAUGGCAGUACAAACAAACAAUUUAAGACAAAUAUAUCAUAAUUAAAACAUGAUGUAACCGAAAGUGAUGCUAAUAAAGAAGUACACGAAAUCAUACCAGUCACAAACUCCACCAUUACUGAUCAAAGUUAACAUUUUC